CAAGUACUCCCUCCGUUCCAAAUUACUCGUUGCAGAAAUGGAUGUAUCUAGAACUAAAAUACAUGUAAAUAUAUCCAUACCUGCGUCAAGUAAUUCGGAACGGAGGGAGUAGAUC
Molecule: non-coding RNA, 115 nt
Organism: Triticum aestivum (bread wheat)
Lineage: Eukaryota; Viridiplantae; Streptophyta; Magnoliopsida; Poales; Poaceae
Source: Rfam